AAGAGACAGCAGUCGCCACGGGAAUACGUAGGUGGCAAGCGUUGUCCGGAAUUAUUGGGCGUAAAGGGCUCGCAGGCGGUUUCUUAGGUCUGAUGUGAAAGCCCCCGGCUCAACCGGGGAGGGUCAUUGGAAACUGGGAAACUUGAGUGCAGAAGAGGAGAGUGGAAUUCCACGUGUAGCGGUGAAAUGCGUAGAGAUGUGGAGGAACACCAGUGGCGAAGGCGACUCUCUGGUCUGUAACUGACGCUGAGGAGCGAAAGCGUGGGGAGCGAACAGGAUUAGAUACCCCUGUAGUCCCUGUCUCUUAUAC
Molecule: ribosomal RNA, 310 nt
Filed under: uncultured bacterium
Lineage: Bacteria
Description: partial 16S ribosomal RNA
Rfam family: Bacterial small subunit ribosomal RNA
Source: RNAcentral